This 497-nucleotide ribosomal RNA is filed under the name uncultured bacterium. Its description in RNAcentral is "partial 16S ribosomal RNA". It matches the Rfam family "Bacterial small subunit ribosomal RNA", at positions 28 to 507 of the family's 1533-position model. The record is from RNAcentral.
GAUGAACGCUGGCGGCGUGCCUAAUACAUGCAAGUCGAGCGAACAGACGAGGAGCUUGCUCCUCUGACGUUAGCGGCGGACGGGUGAGUAACACGUGGAUAACCUACCUAUAAGACUGGGAUAACUUCGGGAAACCGGCGCUAAUACCGGAUAAUAUCUUGAACCGCAUGGUUCAAUAGUGAAAGACGGUUUUGCUGUCACUUAUAGAUGGAUCCGCGCCGCAUUAGCUAGUUGGUAAGGUAACGGCUUACCAAGGCAACGAUGCGUAGCCGACCUGAGAGGGUGAUCGGCCACACUGGAACUGAGACACGGUCCAGACUCCUACGGGAGGCAGCAGUAGGGAAUCUUCCGCAAUGGGCGAAAGCUUGACGGAGCAACGCCGCGUGAGUGAUGAAGGUCUUCGGAUCGUAAAACUCUGUUAUUAGGGAAGAACAAAUGUGUAAGUAACUAUGCACGUCUUGACGGUACCUAAUCAGAAAGCCACGGCUAACUACGUG